This 498-nucleotide small RNA is filed under the name Histoplasma capsulatum. Its description in RNAcentral is "hypothetical RNA". RNAcentral also lists the same sequence under 1 other name. The record is from RNAcentral. Lineage: Eukaryota; Fungi; Ascomycota; Eurotiomycetes; Onygenales; Ajellomycetaceae.
GUUGGUCUCCGGGUUUCCCAACCGGUGCACUCCCGAUGGAUAGAGACUCCUUGGUGAGGAUAGAGAGCUCCGUGAUCAUAUCCCCGAGCGGCUUUUGAUCAAGGAACUGUUGCAGUGGACUAUAUGGCUCCGGGUUUGCCUUCAAAUGGAGCUUCAAAGCCGCCUCUGUAAGCGCAACUUUCGCAGGUUGUCUGAUACAUAUAAAUAUGUCUUCAUGCAAAAUAAACGAACCACGGGCUGAUAGGACAAAAAGAGGGAUGAUAUAUGUUGGCGAUAAGAAGAGCGUGUCAGAACUUACUCCUCGAGUUUAGGGGCAUCCCCCGACUUUUCUUGACCGUUGCUCAACGCUACCAUAGUUGAAUGAUCUGAAACUAAAAAUAAAUAUAUGUAUAAAUAAAAAAAUUAAUACUUUGAAGGGUGGGGCGGUGUGUAGACAUCAAAAAUUCAAUCAGGAAUGUGCGCUGCUGCUACUCACUAGGUAUGAUAGAUUGGUUUGAG